This 482-nucleotide ribosomal RNA is filed under the name uncultured soil bacterium. RNAcentral describes it as "bacterial SSU rRNA". It matches the Rfam family "Bacterial small subunit ribosomal RNA", at positions 26 to 506 of the family's 1533-position model. The record is from RNAcentral.
AGAUUGAACGCUGGCGGCAUGCCUUACACAUGCAAGUCGAACGGCAGCACGGACUUCGGUCUGGUGGCGAGUGGCGAACGGGUGAGUAAUAUAUCGGAACGUACCCUGGAGUGGGGGAUAACGCAGCGAAAGUUGCGCUAAUACCGCAUACGAUCUACGGAUGAAAGUGGGGGCUCGCAAGACCUCAUGCUCGUGGAGCGGCCGAUAUCUGAUUAGCUAGUUGGUAGGGUAAAAGCCUACCAAGGCAUCGAUCAGUAGCUGGUCUGAGAGGACGACCAGCCACACUGGGACUGAGACACGGCCCAGACUCCUACGGGAGGCAGCAGUGGGAAUUUUGGACAAUGGGGGCAACCCUGAUCCAGCAAUGCCGCGUGAGUGAAGAAGGCCUUGGUGUAAGCUCUUUGUCAGGAAGAAACGGUGAAGGCUAAUAUACUUGACUAAUGACGGUACCGUGAAGAAGUAAGACACCGACUAACGUACGU